CAAAUUAAGAACCUAUUCUGCAGCAGCAAUAGCUGCAAGAAUGGUUUCCUCUCCUCAGUUCUUCACGCCAAAACCCCCUCCCCUCUAACUUCGAUUUGGACAAAAUGAAGCAAACGAUAUCGACGGCGCGCCUCUGCUGGUGCGUGGAGGACGUGCGUAGCGUUCGUGCGGGGCUACCAUGCGCGCGAGCAAGGACGUGGGGGCAAUGGGCAGUUGCUACGGCAUUGAGAAAGGGAAAACAAAAACUGCUGCUAGGGUCUUAUGGUUUUUUUCUUGGGCUAUACUGUAGUUGGGCUUGGGUUUAAGUUAAUGGGAUUGUAGUUUGGGUUAUUUGGGUUAAAUGUAUUUAGUUUUAGUAUUUGAUUUGGGCUGUGUAAAUGGUUUUGGGCCCCGGGCAAUAAUUGGCUAUUACAGGUAAUAUUUGGAAAGUCACUUAAUAAUUUGAUUCAAGUUUAAUUGUUUGUAAUUACACAAUGGUGGUAUGUUUGGGUAACCAUUGUGAUUGGUGGAUCCGGCUAAAUUUGAUGUAAUCGGAGCACCCCAAUUGCACUUUUCAA
Molecule: long non-coding RNA, 557 nt
Organism: Gossypium raimondii (Peruvian cotton)
Lineage: Eukaryota; Viridiplantae; Streptophyta; Magnoliopsida; Malvales; Malvaceae
Exons: 2
Source: RefSeq, a predicted model, not a curated record